GAUGAACGCUGGCGGCGUGCCUAAUACAUGCAAGUCGAGCGAACGGACGAGAAGCUUGCUUCUCUGAUGUUAGCGGCGGACGGGUAAGUAACACGUGGAUAACCUACCUAUAAGACUGGGAUAACUUCGGGAAUCCGGAGCUAAUACCGGAUAAUAUUUUGAACCGCAUGGUUCAAAGGUGAAAGACGGUCUUGCUGUCACUUAUAGAUGGAUCCGCGCUGCAUUAGCUAGUUGGUAAGGUAACGGCUUACCAAGGCAACGAUGCAUAGCCGACCUGAGAGGGUGAUCGGCCACACUGGAACUGAGACACGGUCCAGACUCCUACGGGAGGCAGCAGUAGGGAAUCUUCCGCAAUGGGCGAAAGCCUGACGGAGCAACGCCGCGUGAGUGAUGAAGGUCUUCGGAUCGUAAAACUCUGUUAUUAGGGAAGAACAUAUGUGUAAGUAACUGUGCACAUCUUGACGGUACCUAAUCAGAAAGCCACGGCUAACUACGUG
RNAcentral lists this ribosomal RNA (497 nucleotides) under uncultured bacterium. RNAcentral's name for it is "partial 16S ribosomal RNA". It matches the Rfam family "Bacterial small subunit ribosomal RNA", at positions 28 to 507 of the family's 1533-position model. The record is from RNAcentral.